GACGAACGCUGGCGGCGUGCUUAACACAUGCAAGUCGAGCGAUGAAGUUCCUUCGGGAAUGGAUUAGCGGCGGACGGGUGAGUAACACGUGGGUAACCUGCCUCAUAGAGGGGAAUAGCCUUCCGAAAGGAAGAUUAAUACCGCAUAAGAUUGUAGUAUCGCAUGAUAUAGCAAUUAAAGGAGCAAUCCGCUAUGAGAUGGACCCGCGUCGCAUUAGCUAGUUGGUGAGGUAACGGCUCACCAAGGCGACGAUGCGUAGCCGACCUGAGAGGGUGAUCGGCCACAUUGGGACUGAGACACGGCCCAGACUCCUACGGGAGGCAGCAGUGGGGAAUAUUGCACAAUGGGGGAAACCCUGAUGCAGCAACGCCGCGUGAGUGAUGACGGUCUUCGGAUUGUAAAACUCUGUCUUCAGGGACGAUAAUGACGGUACCUGAGGAGGAAGCCACGGCUAACUACGUGCCAGCCGCCGCCGUAA
Molecule: ribosomal RNA, 478 nt
Filed under: uncultured bacterium
Lineage: Bacteria
Description: partial 16S ribosomal RNA
Rfam family: Bacterial small subunit ribosomal RNA
Source: RNAcentral